Long non-coding RNA from Schistocerca gregaria, 1064 nucleotides. RefSeq lists it as uncharacterized. Lineage: Eukaryota; Metazoa; Arthropoda; Insecta; Orthoptera; Acrididae. The record is from RefSeq and is a predicted model, not a curated record. The transcript is spliced from 2 exons.
AUGUGGAGCCGUUUGCGUCUGCAGUGUUUUCCGAUGUACCGUACUAAUGACAGUUAAUUUCGCCCUUACCUAACGGUUUCCUCCAAAGCUCCCGGUGUAAUUGUGUGGCUAGGCCAGCAGCGUUCAGACACAAAAGGUGCGGUUCUAGUUCAAGAACAUAGUGAUACUAGCGACAUGAACACGCAAUUGGUGGUCUCGGCUGUGCUGCUGACGCUGGCACUGUGUUUCGUGAUGCUGAAGGCAUACCCAGUAGUUGAUCCUCAUUAUGGUCAUUAUUGGAGUUGGCGUGAUGACCAUGGAUUGGAUGAAGAUUGUGGAUGGGCACAUGACCAUGGAUGGGGACAUGAGUAUUGGUAUAAGCCACACCAUUCGUGGUGGUGGUGGUAACUAUGACUACAAAUAUGGACAUCAUAACCACUAUUGGUACCACCAACUUCUUCGGCACCACCAGCACUACAACUACUGAGAAGAAGUUUACUGGCUCCUUGGUUAAUUCUGCAGAAUAGACAUUCACUCUUAAGACGUUAAAAAGUGCUACUGCUCUAUGUUGGACUUUAACAUGAAAGUAGCAAUGAACUGAGAAUUAGGAUGAAUAUUUGAGUGUUUACUAUUUUAACAAAAAGUUUAGUAUUAACAAUGUUUUAAUUCAAUUAACUGGGAGUGCUUAAAUUUUUACGUCGUUUACAUGUUGUUUUAGACAUGUAGACACAUUAUUAUGUUUUCAAUGUAUGCCAGCGUCGACACAAUGUCUGUGAUGUACUGAAAAAAAAAUCCUAGCAUAAUAGUUAAAAUAAUACGUUUAUCUGGAACCAUUGUUCAUUUAGUUUCUGUUUCAGAUCAUGGAUCUAUUUCUGAAUCAGUUGAUAAAUUCUUGACCUGCAGUUUUCAUAGGUGUCCAUAAAUUUGUUGAUGGAAAACAUAUUUCCAUGUUUAUUCAAAAUCUAUUGGCUUAAGGCAAUUAGUUUUCUUCUGUUCAUCCAUUCAAGAAUUAUAGCAAAACAUUAUAUCUGUGUUAAACUAUGUAAAAAAUUGCCUGUUCAAUAAAUUGCGUUGGUAAAUUUGAA